UGAGAUUAAGGGCGUGUACGAUGGCUCCU
RNAcentral lists this non-coding RNA (29 nucleotides) under Mus musculus (house mouse). The record is from RNAcentral. Lineage: Eukaryota; Metazoa; Chordata; Mammalia; Rodentia; Muridae.